GACGAACGCUGGCGGCGUGCCUAAUACAUGCAAGUAGAACGCUGAAGGAGGAGCUUGCUUCUCUGGAUGAGUUGCGAACGGGUGAGUAACGCGUAGGUAACCUGCCUGGUAGCGGGGGAUAACUAUUGGAAACGAUAGCUAAUACCGCAUAAUAGUAGAUGUUGCAUGACAUUUGCUUAAAAGGUGCAAUUGCAUCACUACCAGAUGGACCUGCGUUGUAUUAGCUAGUUGGUGGGGUAACGGCUCACCAAGGCGACGAUACAUAGCCGACCUGAGAGGGGGAUCGGCCACACUGGGACGGAGACACGGCCCAGACUCCUACGGGAGGCAGCAGUAGGGAAUCUUCGGCAAUGGACGGAAGUCUGACCGAGCAACGCCGCGUGAGUGAAGAAGGUUUUCGGAUCGUAAAGCUCUGUUGUAAGAGAAGAACGAGUGUGAGAGUGGAAAGUUCACACUGUGACGGUAUCUUACCAGAAAGGGACGGCUAACUACGU
RNAcentral lists this ribosomal RNA (494 nucleotides) under uncultured bacterium. RNAcentral describes it as "partial 16S ribosomal RNA". It matches the Rfam family "Bacterial small subunit ribosomal RNA", at positions 28 to 506 of the family's 1533-position model. The record is from RNAcentral.